Zingiber officinale is the source of this 459-nucleotide long non-coding RNA. RefSeq lists it as uncharacterized. The record is from RefSeq and is a predicted model, not a curated record. The transcript is spliced from 2 exons. Lineage: Eukaryota; Viridiplantae; Streptophyta; Magnoliopsida; Zingiberales; Zingiberaceae.
UUCGUGUCUCUUCUUCUCCUUCUCUGAGUCGAUUGGCAACUGAUUUAACUUGUCGUAGUUGAGGGGAGUGUUGUCUGGUUCGAAGCCAACAGACUGAAGACGGCUCGUAGAUACGAAUUAGUUUCGGACCAGGCUUCAUUCCCCCCAACUCAUGAUCAUGUAAAUCUUCCAAAGAGAAGCUCUCAACCAAAUUCGAGUCGGGUAACAUAAAUAUGCAUCAGCUUUUUUUUCUUCAGAAGGAUAGAAAGAUGGUGAAUGGUUUCAGAUAAGGGAGUUCAAAAAUUAGGUUCUUGACAGUAUCUUCACUUCAAAGGUUCUUUGCACUGCCAUUAUUGCACUGUUCUAACAACUUGAGCCUAUUCUUUUUAUCCUUUUUUUUUUGAUAUUUUAUGAUCAGAUGAAGAAAAUAAAUUUAUCUUUGUAAAUAAAGAAACUAUCUAAAAUCCUCGUUAAUUAAUC